Molecule: ribosomal RNA, 343 nt
Filed under: uncultured bacterium
Lineage: Bacteria
Description: bacterial SSU rRNA
Rfam family: Bacterial small subunit ribosomal RNA
Source: RNAcentral
AGAGUUUGAUUCUGGCUCAGGACGAACGCUGGCGGCGUGCUUAACACAUGCAAGUCGAACGAGAAUCUGUGGAAAGAGGAUUCGUCCAAUUGAAACAGAGGACAGUGGCGGACGGGUGAGUAACGCGUGAGGAACCUGCCUUUCAGAGGGGGACAACAGUUGGAAACGACUGCUAAUACCGCAUGACACAUAUUGGGGGCAUCCCUGAUAUGUCAAAGAUUUAUCGCUGAAAGAUGGCCUCGCGUCUGAUUAGCUAGUUGGUGAGGUAACGGCCCACCAAGGCGACGAUCAGUAGCCGGACUGAGAGGUUGAACGGCCACAUUGGGACUGAGAUACGGCCCAG